GUUGAAAUACCAGUUCCCGUACGAUCACCGAAGUUAAGCAACGUCAAGCCUGGUUAGUACAUAGAUGGGCGAUCGCUUGUAAAUACUU
Molecule: non-coding RNA, 88 nt
Organism: Acanthosepion pharaonis
Lineage: Eukaryota; Metazoa; Mollusca; Cephalopoda; Sepiida; Sepiidae
Source: the annotation of a GenBank genome assembly